This 527-nucleotide ribosomal RNA is filed under the name Bacillus sp. (in: firmicutes). Its description in RNAcentral is "bacterial SSU rRNA". It matches the Rfam family "Bacterial small subunit ribosomal RNA", at positions 384 to 902 of the family's 1533-position model. Lineage: Bacteria; Bacillati; Bacillota; Bacilli; Caryophanales; Bacillaceae. The record is from RNAcentral.
UGACGGAGCAACGCCGCGUGAGUGAUGAAGGCUUUCGGGUCGUAAAACUCUGUUGUUAGGGAAGAACAAGUACGAGAGUAACUGCUGGUACCUUGACGGUACCUAACCAGAAAGCCACGGCUAACUACGUGCCAGCAGCCGCGGUAAUACGUAGGUGGCAAGCGUUAUCCGGAAUUAUUGGGCGUAAAGCGCGCGCAGGCGGUUUCUUAAGUCUGAUGUGAAAGCCCACGGCUCAACCGUGGAGGGUCAUUGGAAACUGGGGAACUUGAGUGCAGAAGAGAAAAGCGGAAUUCCACGUGUAGCGGUGAAAUGCGUAGAGAUGUGGAGGAACACCAGUGGCGAAGGCGGCUUUUUGGUCUGUAACUGACGCUGAGGCGCGAAAGCGUGGGGAGCAAACAGGAUUAGAUACCCUGGUAGUCCACGCCGUAAACGAUGAGUGCUAAGUGUUAGAGGGUUUCCGCCCUUUAGUGCUGCAGCUAACGCAUUAAGCACUCCGCCUGGGGAGUACGGUCGCAAGACUGAAACUC